Molecule: ribosomal RNA, 614 nt
Filed under: Platorchestia sp. AKP-2018
Lineage: Eukaryota; Metazoa; Arthropoda; Malacostraca; Amphipoda; Talitridae
Description: 12S ribosomal RNA
Source: RNAcentral
AUUUUUAUAAGUUUAACUGUUAUUUUUUGUUAGAUUAUUAGACAUGUAAUUAAAAGCUAUUUUUUUUCUUUGCAGUUUAUAUUAUUAUAAAAUAAAUUGAGUUUUUGUUUAAAUGAUAAAAUUGGUGCCAGCAGUUGCGGUUAGACUGAGAUAGAUUGUAUUUAAAGGAUAUAGAUUUAUUAUAAUUUUUUUUUUUGUUUGGUGAAAAAUAAUAUAAUUUUUGGGUUAUAAUUUUAGGUUUAAUUUAAUUUUAAAAAUAGGAUUAGAUACCCUAGUAUUUUAAAGAAAAAACCUCAAUAAUAAAGUUAAAUUGCAAAAGUUUGGCGGCUUUGAUUUAUUAGAGGGGCUUGUAUAUAAACGAUAACCCGCGUUUUGUGUUACUUUAUAAAUUUUUGUAUAUCGUUAUGUAAAUAAAAUUUAGUUAUGUAUUUAUUUUAUUAAAUCAAGGUGCAGAAAUAAUAAAGAGUUAUUAGCCACACUAUAAAAUAAUAAACGAAAAAUUAAAUAAUCAGGCGGAUUUAAUUUUAAUGUUAAAAAUAUGAAUAGUGUUUUUAAAGUGUUCAGAUCGCCCGUCAUUCUCUAUGAGACAAGUCGAAACAUAGGAGGACUGUUGG